UACAUCCGGGUUCUUCGACGGGCGUGACUUGUACGCAGUUCAGAUUGUACCCUGAAAUCUGGUGACCUUUUGCUUUCGCUGCUGUGGAAUAUUUCGUUUACUGGAUUAUAUUCGACGAACUACCGGAUUACUGAUUUGUGUGAAUAACUAUUAGUAACCCAGUGCUACGAAAAACAUGGAUGAAAAACAAGCUGUAACUGGUCAGCCUCCAGCAGGACAACAGCCUGGUGAUACCCAGAUGACAGUGUGGAUGCCACCACCAAUGGCACCAUUAGGUUGUCCCCCAGGAUUGGAGUAUCUCACUCAAAUUGACCAGUUAUUGAUUCAUCAAGUUGUGGAGUUGUUUGAAG
Molecule: long non-coding RNA, 350 nt
Organism: Saccoglossus kowalevskii
Lineage: Eukaryota; Metazoa; Hemichordata; Enteropneusta; Harrimaniidae
Source: RefSeq, a predicted model, not a curated record